RNAcentral lists this ribosomal RNA (254 nucleotides) under uncultured bacterium. RNAcentral describes it as "partial 16S ribosomal RNA". It matches the Rfam family "Bacterial small subunit ribosomal RNA", at positions 524 to 776 of the family's 1533-position model. The record is from RNAcentral.
UACGUAGGGCGCAAGCGUUAUCCGGAAUUAUUGGGCGUAAAGAGCUCGUAGGCGGUUUGUCGCGUCUGCUGUGAAAGACCGGGGCUCAACUCCGGUUCUGCAGUGGGUACGGGCAGACUAGAGUGCAGUAGGGGAGACUGGAAUUCCUGGUGUAGCGGUGAAAUGCGCAGAUAUCAGGAGGAACACCGAUGGCGAAGGCAGGUCUCUGGGCUGUAACUGACGCUGAGGAGCGAAAGACAUGGGGAGCGAACCGG